This 433-nucleotide ribosomal RNA is filed under the name uncultured bacterium. RNAcentral describes it as "partial 16S ribosomal RNA". It matches the Rfam family "Bacterial small subunit ribosomal RNA", at positions 29 to 507 of the family's 1533-position model. The record is from RNAcentral.
AACGAACGCUGGCGGCAUGCCUAACACAUGCAAGUCGAACGAGACCUUCGGGUCUAGUGGCGCACGGGUGCGUAACGCGUGGGAACCUGCCCUUAGGUUCGGAAUAACUCCCCGAAAGGGGUGCUAAUACCGGAUAAUGUCUUCGGACCAAAGAUUUAUCGCCUUUGGAUGGGCCCGCGUUGGAUUAGCUAGUUGGUAGGGUAAAAGCCUACCAAGGCGACGAUCCAUAGCUGGUCUGAGAGGAUGAUCAGCCACACUGGGACUGAGACACGGCCCAGACUCCUACGGGAGGCAGCAGUGGGGAAUAUUAGACAAUGGGCGAAAGCCUGAUCCAGCAAAGCCGCGUGAGUGAUGAAGGCCUUAGGGUUGUAAAGCUCUUUUACCCGGGAUGAUAAUGACAGUACCGGGAGAAUAAGCUCCGGCUAACUCCGUG